RNAcentral lists this ribosomal RNA (465 nucleotides) under uncultured bacterium. RNAcentral describes it as "partial 16S ribosomal RNA". It matches the Rfam family "Bacterial small subunit ribosomal RNA", at positions 28 to 507 of the family's 1533-position model. The record is from RNAcentral.
GACGAACGCUGGCGGCGUGCUUAACACAUGCAAGUCGAACGGAAAGGCCCUGCUUGCAGCGUACUCGAGUGGCGAACGGGUGAGUAACACGUGGGUGAUCUGCCCUUCACUUCGGGUUACGCCUGGGAAAGUGGGUCUAAUACCGGAUAGGAGUCAUUUUUAGUGUGAUGGUUGGACAGUUUUCUCGGUGUAGGAUGAGCUCGCGGCCUAUCAGCUUGUUGGUGGGGUAAUGGCCUACCAAGGCGGCGACGGGUAGCCGGCCUGAGAGGGUGGACGGCCACACUGGGACUGAGAGGAGGCCGAGACUGGGACGGGAGGCAGAUGGGGGGAAGCUUGCUCAAGGGGCGCAGGCCUGGUGAAGAGGGGCCGCGGAGGGGAAAGCGGCCUUCGGGGUGAAAAAGCGCAGCGAGAGGAACCAAGCUUUUUGUGACGGUACCUACAGAAGAAGCACCGGCUAACUUCGUG